AAAAAAUUAAAAUUAUCAACCGUCGUCUAAUACAACGCAAAUGCGCGAUCAUCGCAAGUUCGCGCGAAUUUUACUGGUACGAACACACAUACUGGU
Long non-coding RNA from Maniola jurtina (meadow brown), 96 nucleotides. RefSeq lists it as uncharacterized. The record is from RefSeq and is a predicted model, not a curated record. The transcript has 3 exons. Lineage: Eukaryota; Metazoa; Arthropoda; Insecta; Lepidoptera; Nymphalidae.